RNAcentral lists this ribosomal RNA (460 nucleotides) under uncultured bacterium. RNAcentral's name for it is "partial 16S ribosomal RNA". It matches the Rfam family "Bacterial small subunit ribosomal RNA", at positions 338 to 795 of the family's 1533-position model. The record is from RNAcentral.
CCUACGUGAGGCCGCAGUGAGGCAUAUUGGUCAAUGGGCGGGAGCCUGAACCAGCCAAGUCGCGUGAGGGAAGACGGUCCUCUGGAUUGUAAACCUCUUUAGGCGGGGAGCAAUGCCGGGCACGCGUGCCCUGAGGGCGAGUACCCGCAGAAUAAGCAUCGGCUAACUCCGUGCCAGCAGCCGCGGUAAUACGGAGGAUGCGAGCGUUAUCCGGAUUUAUUGGGUUUUAAGGGUGCGUAGGCGGAUUUUGUAGUCAGCGGUAAAAUGUGCGGGCUAAAUCCGGUCCGGCCGUUGCAACUGGGGAUCUUGAGUGGGCGAGAAGUAUGCGGAAUGCGUGGUGUAGCGGUGAAAUGCAUAGAGAUCACGCAGAACUCCGAUUGCGAAGGCAGCAUACCGGAGCCCGACUGACGCUGAGGCACGAAGGCGUGGGGAUCGAACAGGAUUAGAUACCCGUGUAGUC